This 775-nucleotide ribosomal RNA is filed under the name uncultured Neocallimastigales. Its description in RNAcentral is "partial large subunit ribosomal RNA". It matches the Rfam family "Eukaryotic large subunit ribosomal RNA", at positions 23 to 645 of the family's 3401-position model. Lineage: Eukaryota; Fungi; Neocallimastigomycota; Neocallimastigomycetes; Neocallimastigales. The record is from RNAcentral.
AGAGAGAGACAUGCGCGCAUAUCAAUAAGCGGAGGAAAAGAAACUAACAAGGAUUCCCUUAGUAACGGCGAGUGAAGCGGGAAGAGCUCAAAUUUGAAAUCUUCAAGGUUUUACCUUGACGAAUUGUAGUUUAAAGAAGUGUUUUCUGCUGAAGUUUUGGUAAAAGUUCUUUGGAAUAGGACAUCAUAGAGGGUGAGAAUCCCGUAUUUGACCAUUAUUUUCCAGCUUUGUGAUACACUUUCAAAGAGUCGGAUUGUUUGGGAAUGCAGUCCAAAAUGGGUGGUAAAUUUCAUCUAAAGCUAAAUACUGGCAAGAGACCGAUAGCGAACAAGUACCGUGAGGGAAAGAUGAAAAGAACUUUGAAAAGAGAGUUAAACAGUACGUGAAAUUGUCAAAAGGGAAGCGUUUGACACCAGUGUUGUUUUCUCGAAAAUCAAUUAAAAAUGGCUCGAUUUUGUAUUGUUGAGACCUUAAAAGCUCACUGUACAUUUUUCGUGUCUUUUUUAAUGCACUUUUCGUUUAACAAGUCAACAUCAGUUUCUUUUGUUGUAAAAGGGUCAUUGGAAGGUGGCUUUCUUUUCGGAGAAAGUGUUUAUAGCCUUUGGCCUCUGCACUCGGAGAGACUGAGGUCUGCAGCGUAGACUCUUCGGGGUUAGAUACAUUUGUGCUAAGUUAUAGCUUUUAUAGACAACUUGUUGACUAUGAUUAGUCAUUGUAGCUUACUCGCUUAUGCUAUUUUACCUACGCUUAGGAUGUUGAAGUCAUCGUAUCGCGC